AAAUUGAAGAGUUUGAUCAUGGCUCAGAUUGAACGCUGGCGGCAGGCCUAACACAUGCAAGUCGAACGGUAGCACAGAGAGCUUGCUCUCGGGUGACGAGUGGCGGACGGGUGAGUAAUGUCUGGGAAACUGCCUGAUGGAGGGGGAUAACUACUGGAAACGGUAGCUAAUACCGCAUAACGUCGCAAGACCAUAGAGGGGGACCUUCGGGCCUCUUGCCAUCAGAUGUGCCCAGAUGGGAUUAGCUAGUAGGUGGGGUAACGGCUCACCUAGGCGACGAUCCCUAGCUGGUCUGAGAGGAUGACCAGCCACACUGGAACUGAGACACGGUCCAGACUCCUACGGGAGGCAGCAGUGGGGAAUAUUGCACAAUGGGCGAAAGCCUGAUGCAGCCAUGCCGCGUGUAUGAAGAAGGCCUUCGGGUUGUAAAGUACUUUCAGCGGGGAGGAAGGUGUUGUGGUUAAUAACCACAGCAAUUGACGUUACCCGCAGAAGAAGCACCGGCUAACUCCGUGCCAGCAGCCGCGGUAAUACGGAGGGUGCAAGCGUUAAUCGGAAUUACUGGGCGUAAAGCGCACGCAGGCGGUCUGUCAAGUCGGAUGUGAAAUCCCCGGGCUCAACCUGGGAACUGCAUUCGAAACUGGCAGGCUAGAGUCUUGUAGAGGGGGGUAGAAUUCCAGGUGUAGCGGUGAAAUGCGUAGAGAUCUGGAGGAAUACCGGUGGCGAAGGCGGCCCCCUGGACAAAGACUGACGCUCAGGUGCGAAAGCGUGGGGAGCAAACAGGAUUAGAUACCCUGGUAGUCCACGCCGUAAACGAUGUCGACUUGGAGGUUGUGCCCUUGAGGCGUGGCUUCCGGAGCUAACGCGUUAAGUCGACCGCCUGGGGAGUACGGCCGCAAGGUUAAAACUCAAAUGAAUUGACGGGGGCCCGCACAAGCGGUGGAGCAUGUGGUUUAAUUCGAUGCAACGCGAAGAACCUUACCUACUCUUGACAUCCAGAGAACUUAGCAGAGAUGCUUUGGUGCCUUCGGGAACUCUGAGACAGGUGCUGCAUGGCUGUCGUCAGCUCGCUCGUGUUGUGAAAUGUUGGGUUAAGUCCCGCAACGAGCGCAACCCUUAUCCUUUGUUGCCAGCGGUCCGGCCGGGAACUCAAAGGAGACUGCCAGUGAUAAACUGGAGGAAGGUGGGGAUGACGUCAAGUCAUCAUGGCCCUUACGAGUAGGGCUACACACGUGCUACAAUGGCGCAUACAAAGAGAAGCGACCUCGCGAGAGCAAGCGGACCUCAUAAAGUGCGUCGUAGUCCGGAUUGGAGUCUGCAACUCGACUCCAUGAAGUCGGAAUCGCUAGUAAUCGUAGAUCAGAAUGCUACGGUGAAUACGUUCCCGGGCCUUGUACACACCGCCCGUCACACCAUGGGAGUGGGUUGCAAAAGAAGUAGGUAGCUUAACCUUCGGGAGGGCGCUUACCACUUUGUGAUUCAUGACUGGGGUGAAGUCGUAACAAGGUAACCGUAGGGGAACCUGCGGUUGGAUCACCUCCUUACCUUAAAGAA
This 1554-nucleotide ribosomal RNA is filed under the name Enterobacter kobei. Its description in RNAcentral is "bacterial SSU rRNA". It matches the Rfam family "Bacterial small subunit ribosomal RNA". Lineage: Bacteria; Pseudomonadati; Pseudomonadota; Gammaproteobacteria; Enterobacterales; Enterobacteriaceae. The record is from RNAcentral.